This is a small nuclear RNA of Loxodonta africana (African savanna elephant), 115 nucleotides long. RefSeq annotates it as U5 spliceosomal RNA. The transcript has a single exon. The record is from RefSeq and is a predicted model, not a curated record. NCBI's taxonomy places the organism in Eukaryota, Metazoa, Chordata, Mammalia, Proboscidea, Elephantidae.
ACACUCUGGUUUUUCUUCAGAUUGAGUAAAUCUUUUGCCUUUUACUAAAGAUUUUCAUGGAGAGAAAUCUUUAUGAGUUGGUUAUCAAAUUUUUUUCAGGUCUUAAGUAAGGCUA